RNAcentral lists this long non-coding RNA (268 nucleotides) under Ictidomys tridecemlineatus (thirteen-lined ground squirrel). RNAcentral describes it as "lncRNA (ENSSTOG00000033422.1)". The record is from RNAcentral. Lineage: Eukaryota; Metazoa; Chordata; Mammalia; Rodentia; Sciuridae.
AGAUUAUCACCCACUCUGGGAGUUGCACAGAGGUGGAAUCUGAGGAGCCAGGGCGUCCCCCACCAACAGGUGGAUGCCAGCUGCCGUCCAGCUUACCCUCGGACACUUGCUUUCCCAGGACACCAGCAAUCGUGGGCAGAAACUCCUCAAGGCGCUCCAAGGAAUCCCAGAGGCCCUCAAGACCCACGACCAGGCUGCAGGUGGCCUGGGACUGCACAGGCAGCAGGCUAGACAAUCCCUCCAGGCUGUGGCCCUCUUUGGACUUUAG